GACGAACGCUGGCGGCGUGCUUAACACAUGCAAGUCGAACGGAAAGGCCCUGCUUUUGUUGGUUGCUCGAUUGGCGAACGGGUGAGUAACACGUGAGUAACCUGCCCCUGACUUUGUGAUAACUUCAGGAAACUGGGGCUAAUACAGCAUAUGAUCUCCUGCUCCAUGGUGGGGGUUGGAAAGUUUCGGCUGUUGGGGCUGGUCUCGCGGCUUAUCCGCUUGUUGGUGGGGUAGUGGCUUACCAAGGCUUUGACGGGUAGCCGGCCUGAGAGGGUUAACGGGGACAAGAGGCCUGAGAGACGGAGCAGAAUGGAACGGGAGGCAGCAGGGGGGAAUAUUGCAGAAUGGGCGGAAGUGAGAUGCAGAAAUGCCGCGUGCGGGAUAACGGCCUUCGGGGGGUAAACAGAUGUCGAAUGUGACGAAGCGGGAGUGACGGUAACGGGUAAAGAAGCAACGGCUAACUACGUG
Molecule: ribosomal RNA, 468 nt
Filed under: uncultured bacterium
Lineage: Bacteria
Description: partial 16S ribosomal RNA
Rfam family: Bacterial small subunit ribosomal RNA
Source: RNAcentral